Molecule: unclassified non-coding RNA, 343 nt
Filed under: soil metagenome
Description: partial contains 5.8S ribosomal RNA, internal transcribed spacer 2, and large subunit ribosomal RNA
Rfam family: 5.8S ribosomal RNA (bases 1-119)
Source: RNAcentral
GAUGAAGAACGUAGCGAAAUGCGAUACGUAAUGUGAAUUGCAAAUUCAGUGAAUCAUCGAGUCUUUGAACGCACAUUGCGCCCCCUGGUAUUCCGGGGGGCAUGCCUGUCCGAGCGUCAUUGCUGCCCUCAAGCACGGCUUGUGUGUUGGGCCCCGUCCUCCGAUCCCGGGGGACGGGCCCGAAAGGCAGCGGCGGCACCGCGUCCGGUCCUCGAGCGUAUGGGGCUUUGUCACCCGCUCUGUAGGCCCGGCCGGCGCUUGCCGAUCAACCCAAAUUUUUAUCCAGGUUGACCUCGGAUCAGGUAGGGAUACCCGCUGAACUUAAGCAUAUCAAUAGGGAGGA